Lolium perenne is the source of this 975-nucleotide long non-coding RNA. RefSeq lists it as uncharacterized. The record is from RefSeq and is a predicted model, not a curated record. NCBI's taxonomy places the organism in Eukaryota, Viridiplantae, Streptophyta, Magnoliopsida, Poales, Poaceae.
UCCCAUUUUUGUUCUUGGCAUGACAUUGGUCUUUGCUCUGGUCGGAGCAAUAUUCAUCGAAGAAAUCAAUCAUGCUUGGACUAUUUGAUUGAUGUACAACUUAUGACGAUAGCCGUGAGGACCCGGACAGGGCAGGUGAAACCCCAGCCACUGACUCAGUAUCACAAGACCUUCAAAUGCUUCCAUUUUACGCUUACUAUAAGGAUCCUUUUCAAUGGGGAGAACAUGUGUAGAUGUUUGGAUCUGGAACAAUUGAGCUAACUGACUGUUGUUUGAGAUUGACCGUGUCUACUAUUAUCAGCACCAACAAAUGUUUUUAUUCAUCGUGUGACCAUUUUAUUAUUCCACACAGAAAAACAAGGUGGGAGCUUGUUGUGGGAGGCACAACAGGUCGCUCGAGCCGGAGAAGGCUGAUUGUUAUUCCACACAGGUACAAGUAUUGGAGCAUGAGCACAGCUGAUUGCAAAUAGAUAAUGCUUAAUUCAGUGAUUAAUGAGUAUUGCAACAUAUUUACAAGUUGAACUACUUUACAAGCGGAGUUGUGUGGAGUGGAUCAGAGUAGAGAUGAAGACAAAUCCUGAUGCAGAGCCAAAUGCGCUCAUCCCACUUGUAGUAAUGUUGGUCAUAACAUGUGAGACGUAUGUUGUGUAUGAACAGUAUGAUCAAGUGGCCAGGGCGGUGGGGCAGAAUGGAGGCUCUAGCAUGUGGAAAGUCUUUUGAGCAAUAUAUACUUUCCGCAUUCUUCUGUGAUUGUGGUUUUCAAGUCACGGUGUAUAUACAUUUUCUAUGCUAUAUAUCUCCGUCCAGUGAAAAUAUACAAUAUCUUAGGUGUUUGUUAGUGGUGAUUAUUUCUAGCAUAUGAUAGGUCAGGUGAUGUUGAAGUUAUGUAACUAUCAAGUGAAGGAAAAAUGUUUGUCACACAGCUAUGAGAAAUAACCAGUGUAGUUUCCGUCCCUUUCUUGAAAACGGGUAGAA